GGAAGGAUCAUUAUCGAACAGAAUGUGAGAGGCAUGCGAGCGCUGUCGCUGACCCAAAAGUCGUGCACGCCCGAGUGUGUUCUCUCACAUGAUCAAUCCAUCUCACCCUUUUGUGCAUCACCGCGUGGGCACCCUUCGGGAUCGUCUCGGAGGGGGCUCGCGUUUUCACACAAAACCCCCCUUUUAAAAAAAGUGUAGAAUGACCUCAUUUAUGCGCUAACCCGCAAUCAAUACAACUUUCAACAACGGAUCUCUUGGCUCUCGCAUCGAUGAAGAACGCAGCGAAAUGCGAUACGUAAUGUGAAUUGCAGAAUUCAGUGAAUCAUCGAAUCUUUGAACGCACCUUGCGCCCCUUGGUAUUCCGAGGGGCACACCCGUUUGAGUGUCGUGAAAACCUCAACCUCCUUGGUUUCUUCUGGAGACCAAAGCAGGCUUGGACUUUGGAGGCCCUUUGCUGGCACCUCUCUUUUGAAGGCCAGCUCCUCUUAAAUGAAUUAGCAGGGUCCUCUUUGCUGAUCCUCGACGUGUGAUAAGAUGUUUCCAUGUCUUGGUUUCUGGCUCUGUCACCUUUGGGACCCGCUUCUAACCGUCUUGACCUUGCAUCGAGACAACGUUCGAGCAUGUCUCCCUUUCUCGGGAAGCUCCCUCGACCCCACGAACCCCUUGACCUCAAAUCGGGUGAGACUACCCGCUGAACUUAAGCAUAUCAAUAAGCGGAGGAAA
Molecule: small RNA, 723 nt
Filed under: uncultured fungus
Lineage: Eukaryota; Fungi
Description: eukaryotic LSU rRNA
Rfam family: 5.8S ribosomal RNA (bases 235-388)
Source: RNAcentral